This 253-nucleotide ribosomal RNA is filed under the name uncultured bacterium. RNAcentral's name for it is "partial 16S ribosomal RNA". It matches the Rfam family "Bacterial small subunit ribosomal RNA", at positions 524 to 776 of the family's 1533-position model. The record is from RNAcentral.
UACAGAGGGGGCAAGCGUUGUUCGGAAUUACUGGGCGUAAAGCGCACGUAGGCGGUUUGUUAAGUCGGAUGUGAAAUCCCUCGGCUCAACUGAGGAAGUGCAUCCGAAACUGGCAAGCUUGAGUACGAAAGAGGGUCGCGGAAUUCCCGGUGUAGAGGUGAAAUUCGUAGAUAUCGGGAGGAACACCGGUGGCGAAGGCGGCGACCUGGGUCGAUACUGACGCUGAGGUGCGAAAGCGUGGGGAGCAAACAGG